AAAUCCAACCUAAAUUGUAAAUAAAAUAAACACGUAACAAUUCAUUCUAUGCUAUUUUUCAGUGUGAGUCAGUGAGUGACCGGUGACUAGCUGCUGCAGCCAAUGAUGCGAUUCACAUACGUAUUUACCAUAGACUGUAUAUAAUGGUAUUUACGCAGCUAAUCAAUGUCAGGCUUCCUUAUGUGCAGCCACCUUUGUUCUCAUAGAUAUGAAUGAGUAGAUAGGACACGCCCCUUUGAGCUGCGUGCUACAGCGAGGCUAAGCUAGUGGGGGCAAAGUUUCAGUGCAUUCUGUUGAUGUAGACGACGUGAAAACGGAAACAAGUAUGCCGUCUCACUGUGCUGCAUAUAGUUACACACUACGUCGUACGAUUGAGACAAGGAAACUUGGAAUGACUUUUCAUAGGUUUCCCAGAGACUAUGGGUUGAGGAGGAAGUGGAAGUUUGUCGGCUUAGACCUGGUGUCAUUCCAUCAGUGUUAAACUUCCCGGCUCAUCUUGGAAGAGUACGUGCCAGAAAGACCACGACCAAGCAGCCUUGAGAUCUUAGACAGCGUCUCCCUGAGGUCCCUCUCUAUCUCCCCACACAUCCACCAACCACUGGAACACAUCUCCAAAGUUCUGCUGGACCAGCUCAGCUUCCCCUCAGAAGAAGUGCUGCCACCUGCCAGAUGAAGGAGCCUUUUGAGAGGCAGCUGGCAUCGUGAUUGGACUGUACUUUGGUCUGUUCCAGUCCAGCUUCAGCUCCAGAGACGGCAGGCGGGACGAGUCAACGGAGGCCUGGUGGACGAAGACCAAAGAACUACAGACUCUUCACAACCUGCUCAAACUCUUGGUACAGGACCUCACCACACGGGUCAAGAAGGUUUCCAUCUCAUUUCUACUCUGAAGCUCACCUUCUCCUGCUCAAACUGCUGACAAAUGUUUCUGCUGCUCUGAAGUCUGGUCUCCAGAACUUCCUAAAAACUCUCAAAGUCUCUUCUGCUGCAGGUUGCUUUGUAGAACUGUUCCAGAAAACCUCACUAAACCACAUGGAGGGGCCUCAAGAUAGUCGUCCAAAUGAAACCAUACAAAAACCAAACUAGCACAACCCAAAUGCUAAAGUCUCCUGCAGCCUACCAGAGAACCUUGAGAACAGAGAAUCAGGACAGGAACUCUUACCUUCUGGACAACCAACGCUGGUUCUCAAACAAGAACACAGAAUGUGUCUGACCAAAAACCUCUAAAGACUCACUACAGCCAAGAUAAAGACACAGCUGCACCAAAUCUAUUAAUCACUGCACACAUUACCACCAUGUGCUAACUGUGGCUAAAGAACCUCAUUUACCAAGACAACUAUCCAGUACAAAGCCCUACAACACACCAAGAAACACAUUAAAGACGAUUUUACUGCUGGAAGCUGCAAGCCAAUGCCUAAACAACAAACUAAAGCAACGAAGCCAAACCCAGUUCAGUGGUGAACAGAAGCAGAGGAAAUGUUUGUCUGCAGCUAAAUAAAGCAGGAAGACACUGAGCUGCUCAGGUGUUCCUGAUAACACCAACCAGCUGCUCAGGUGUUCCUGAUAACACCAAGCAGCCACCUGGACAGCCAAUAGGAACACAGCUUCCUGGAAGUCCAGAGGGCUGGCUUAGUGAAGGAAAUUUAGUUUAAAGUUGAAGCAGAAAGUUAAUAAAGAAAGUUGAAAACCACCUUCUGAUACCUGAAAUCUCUGAGUUUUCACACAAAGAACACCUGAACAUGUCAAACUGGUUCCAUAGUAGAACCAUCAUUGUAAAAACAUCAUAGUAUGGUGUGUUGCUCAAAAAACAUUAG
Molecule: long non-coding RNA, 1811 nt
Organism: Amphiprion ocellaris (clown anemonefish)
Lineage: Eukaryota; Metazoa; Chordata; Actinopteri; Pomacentridae
Source: Ensembl